CAACUUUUAACGGUGGAUCUCUUGGCUCACGUAUCGAUGAAGAACGCAGCCAGCUGCGAUAAGUAGUGUGAAUUGCAGAAUUCAGUGAAUCAUCGAAUCUUUGAACGCAAAUGGCGCUCUUGGGUUCUCCCAGGAGCAGUCUGUCUGUCUGAGUGUCG
RNAcentral lists this ribosomal RNA (158 nucleotides) under Balanophyllia elegans. RNAcentral's name for it is "5.8S ribosomal RNA". It matches the Rfam family "5.8S ribosomal RNA". From Rfam's summary of the family: 5.8S ribosomal RNA (5.8S rRNA) is a component of the large subunit of the eukaryotic ribosome. The record is from RNAcentral. Lineage: Eukaryota; Metazoa; Cnidaria; Anthozoa; Scleractinia; Dendrophylliidae.